This is a long non-coding RNA of Tripterygium wilfordii, 766 nucleotides long. RefSeq lists it as uncharacterized. Lineage: Eukaryota; Viridiplantae; Streptophyta; Magnoliopsida; Celastrales; Celastraceae. The transcript has 2 exons. The record is from RefSeq and is a predicted model, not a curated record.
UGGUAUACAUAGGGAUACAUAAUGACAUGGCUUGCCAUGUAGGAUGCUGACUAGACAAAUUCAAAAAUUAAAAAUCAAACUCUUAAAAUAACUCUUUUAUCUCUCUUUGGACUCAAAUAUUUUUUUUCUCUCUCAUCAAUCUCUCCCUCUCCUCCCUCACGACCUCUCUUCCUCUCUCAUGGCCAACACCGGAUCUCCACCGUCCGGCCACCAAUCCGACCGCCACUGCUGUCAAAAGAAGCGCCCGGCUCCCACAAGCAAAGCCCAGCCACCACUUGUCGUCAUCCGUCAUUGGUUUUUUCGGAAAUCCACCUUGAAGUCGUGGGUUUUCACCGAACAAAAAACACAGAUCCAACGGAUUCCGGUGUCGGUUUGGCAACCCAACACCACAAAUGAACUCCGUUAGGUGAGAAGCACCUAGCCAGCCCUUUGUCGACCAAAACGGUCACCGGAAAAUGGAGACCCACUUCAAAGAAUGGUCAAAACCAAAGACACAAAGAAGAAACCCACCUCAUUGCAAUAUUGGUCUAAUAUGCAAGGGCUAACACCACUAGUAUGCUUGAAGAAGAAACAUAAAAGGAGUUUGCGAAAGACACCUUUUUGGAAUUUGUUCAAGGUGUUCAUCGAUAAGAAACACGUGGGAAUUACACCUCGAGGAUUUUAUUUUUGUUGACAUGGAUUGUAUUGAAAAGUGUCAAAUACGUUGUCAAUUUUGUUAAAUACACUGGUAGUUCAUUAACAAAUGAGUAAUAAAUACUCUAUCGAA